Molecule: ribosomal RNA, 648 nt
Filed under: Triticum aestivum (bread wheat)
Lineage: Eukaryota; Viridiplantae; Streptophyta; Magnoliopsida; Poales; Poaceae
Description: partial small subunit ribosomal RNA
Source: RNAcentral
ACAAAGUACAAGAGCAUUGUUGGUGGACUUCAGUACUUGACGAUCACGAGACCAGAUAUCUCUUAUGCUGUUAACAGGGUUUGUCAGUAUCUUCAGGCUCCCAGAGAUACUCAUUGGGCUGCUGUUAAACGCAUUCUUCGUUAUGUUCAGUUCACCCUGACAUUUGGUAUGCAUAUUCAGCCGACUUCCUCUCGGGUCCUUUCGGCCUUCUCUGAUGCAGAUUGGGCUGGUAGCCCAGAUGACAGGCGAUCCACGGGGGGUUAUGCAGUAUUCUUUGGCUCUAAUUUGAUCGCCUGGAGUGCUCGGAAACAGGCUACUGUGUCACGUAGCAGUACUGAAGCUGAGUACAAGGCUGUGGCUAAUGCUACUGCAGAGAUUAUUUGGGUGCAGUCUUUGCUUCAGGAGUUGGGUUUGUCUCAACCACAGCCUCCUAUUCUUUGGUAUGAUAACAUCGGUGCUACAUACCUUUCUGCAAAUCCAGUAUUUCAUGCCCGAAUGAAACACAUUGAAGUUGACUAUCACUUUGUACGGGAACGUGUAUCACAGAAGCAACUCCAGAUCAAGUUUAUCUCAUCUAAGGAUCAACUUGCAGACAUCUUCACUAAGCCUUUACCGCUGCCACAGUUUGAGGCUUGUAGGCGCAAUCUU